Molecule: transfer RNA, 72 nt
Filed under: Candidatus Gottesmanbacteria bacterium RIFCSPHIGHO2_01_FULL_42_12
Lineage: Bacteria; Candidatus Gottesmaniibacteriota
Description: tRNA-Pro
Rfam family: tRNA
About the family: Transfer RNA (tRNA) molecules are approximately 80 nucleotides in length.
Source: RNAcentral
CGGGGUGUAGUGUACUGGUAACAUGCACGGUUCGGGACCGUGAGACAGUGAGUCCGAUUCUCACCACCCCGA